AGCGAACGCUGGCGGCAGGCCUAACACAUGCAAGUCGAACGAACUCUUCGGAGUUAGUGGCGGACGGGUGAGUAACACGUGGGAACGUGCCUUUAGGUUCGGAAUAACUCAGGGAAACUUGUGCUAAUACCGAAUGUGCCCUUCGGGGGAAAGAUUUAUCGCCUUUAGAGCGGCCCGCGUCUGAUUAGCUAGUUGGUGAGGUAAAGGCUCACCAAGGCGACGAUCAGUAGCUGGUCUGAGAGGAUGAUCAGCCACAUUGGGACUGAGACACGGCCCAAACUCCUACGGGAGGCAGCAGUGGGGAAUCUUGCGCAAUGGGCGAAAGCCUGACGCAGCCAGGCCGCGUGAAUGAUGAAGGUCUUAGGAUUGUAAAAUUCUUUCACCGGGGACGAUAAGGACGGUACCCGGAGAAGAAGCCCCGGCUAACUUCGU
RNAcentral lists this ribosomal RNA (432 nucleotides) under uncultured bacterium. Its description in RNAcentral is "partial 16S ribosomal RNA". It matches the Rfam family "Bacterial small subunit ribosomal RNA", at positions 29 to 506 of the family's 1533-position model. The record is from RNAcentral.